Molecule: non-coding RNA, 31 nt
Filed under: unclassified sequences
Source: RNAcentral
CUAUGGUUAAGGUUAACUAUGGCGGAAGGAG